AGUCAGUGGUGAAAGUCUUCCGCUCAACGGGAGAACUGCCAUUGAUACUGAUUGUCUUGAGUUAUUAUGAAGUGGUUAGAAUGAGUAGUGUAGCGGUGAAAUGCAUAGAUAUUACUCAGAAUACCGAUUGCGAAGGCAGAUCACUAAUAAUAUACUGACGCUGAUGGACGAAAGCGUAGUUAGCGAACAGGAUUAGAUACCCUGGUAGUCUACGCCGUAAACGAUGGUUACUAGCUGUUCGGCCCGAUUAAGGGCUGAGUGGUUAAGCGAAAGUGAUAAGUAACCCACCUGGGGAGUACGUUCGCAAGAAUGAAACUCAAAGGAAUUGACGGGGGCCCGCACAAGCGGUGGAGCAUGUGGUUUAAUUCGAUGAUACGCGAGGAACCUUACCAGGGCUUAAAUGUAGUCUGACAGGGCUGGAAACAGCUUUUUCUUCGGACAGAUUACAAGGUGCUGCAUGGUUGUCGUCAGCUCGUGCCGUGAGGUGUCAGGUUAAGUCCUAUAACGAGCGCAACCCCUGUGGUUAGUUGCCAGCGAGUAAUGUCGGGAACUCUAGCCAGACUGCCGGUGCAAACCGUGAGGAAGGUGGGGAUGACGUCAAAUCAUCACGGCCCUUACGUCCUGGGCCACACACGUGCUACAAUGGUAGGGACAGAGAGCAGCCACUUCGCGAGAAGGAGCGAAUCUACAAACCCUAUCACAGUUCGGAUCGCAGUCUGCAACUCGACUGCGUGAAGCUGG
RNAcentral lists this ribosomal RNA (741 nucleotides) under uncultured bacterium. Its description in RNAcentral is "bacterial SSU rRNA". It matches the Rfam family "Bacterial small subunit ribosomal RNA", at positions 586 to 1329 of the family's 1533-position model. The record is from RNAcentral.